Molecule: ribosomal RNA, 269 nt
Filed under: uncultured bacterium
Lineage: Bacteria
Description: partial 16S ribosomal RNA
Rfam family: Bacterial small subunit ribosomal RNA
Source: RNAcentral
GUCCACGCCGUAAACGAUGAUGACUGGACCGGUGCGGGUCUUACCCCGUAUCGGUCGAAGCGAAAGCGUUAAGUCAUCCGCCUGGGAAGUACGGUCGCAAGACUAAAACUCAAAUGAAUUGACGGGGCUCACACAAGCGGUGGAGCAUGUUGCUUAAUUCGAGGCAACGCGAAGAACCUUACCUGGGUUUGACAUGUACGUAUUAACUCUAUGAAAGUAGAGCCACAGUCGCAAGACCGGAACGUGCACAGGUGCUGCAUGGCUGUCGU